AAUCCAUCACAACAAUUGCUUUCGCUGGAAGACUUACUUGGUACUAUUUAUUGAUCCCCCUUGUAAGCCCCCCAAAAGAGGCUUCUAAUCUAAGCCAUCCUUAAGGCCGAGAUGUGAGAUGGCAGCUCACGGACACAGAGUCUUGUUGAUUCCGCGGACAAGCCCUUAGGUGGAUAGUUCUCAGCUGCUAGCUCAGAUCCUCUUGUUUCGGCUUUCUUGCUUGUUAAUGGGUGAGCCCAAGCUCCUAGCGUUAGCGAGAAAACUACCUAUUUAAUUUAUUAAUUUAAAGGUAGGACCCAGACCGAUAGAUUUAUUCUAUGGCGAAGGAUCUGAAGGUCUGAAAGCGCGUAAAUAGCUUCUGAGAGAAUCCAGCUACUUA
This 379-nucleotide unclassified non-coding RNA is filed under the name Hevea brasiliensis (rubber tree). The record is from RNAcentral. Lineage: Eukaryota; Viridiplantae; Streptophyta; Magnoliopsida; Malpighiales; Euphorbiaceae.